This 2816-nucleotide long non-coding RNA is filed under the name Ficedula albicollis (Collared flycatcher). RNAcentral's name for it is "lncRNA (ENSFALG00000025572.1)". Lineage: Eukaryota; Metazoa; Chordata; Aves; Passeriformes; Muscicapidae. The record is from RNAcentral.
CCCCCCCCCCCCCCCCCCCCCCCCCCCCCCCCCCCCCCCCCCCCCCCCCCCCCCCCCCCCGCCCAGCAGUCCCCGCCCCGGGGCGGCGGACAAGGGGCCCGGCCCCGGCCCUGGCUCCUGCCCAGCGCUGCCCGAGCGGGGGUGGUUGCCCGGCGGGGAACGGGGCGGGCGGUGUCGGUCAGGCCGCCGUGUCCUGCAGCCUGGCGGUGAUGGGCGCCUGGUGGCUCCGGGAGAGCGCCAGGAUCCCCAGAGGUGCUGAUGCUGGGACUUCCCAGGGACGUGCACUUCUCCCAGGCAGUACAAACACCCGUGUGCCCCUCAGAAAAAUGCUUCAGGACACCCAGACUUUGGGAAUGUGGGACAUCAGAAAGAAGAAAGGACUUGGUAAGUAGCAAAAGACACCUUCACGUUUUAGGCUGAGACCGGCAGCACUUCAAGGAAUUUUCUAGGAAACCAAUAGGCUUUGAAAAAUGCCUUCCUCCAGAGGAACAGUGAGAAUCCUCCAGUUCAGCUGGAUAAGAAAAUCCAAGGACCUGUGCACGUAUUACAGAGAGAGGGCUUCACCUUCUGUGUGAUGCUUUCGAGUGUGGCUUUUGAGAUGGCUGUGAUGGUGCAGCCUUUUGUUUUGGUCUCCUCCUCGAUGCCUGUACACAGCAUUAGAGGCACACAAUAGAUUAUGGGAUCAUCUCCAUAAAACAGAUUCUAUGUGCUUUUCCCUCUUUUAAGCUUUGUAGUAAAUACUUGGUAAAAUACAUCCGAUUUCAAAUCUCAUUUUAGUAUCUGUGAAUCUCCUCCGGACUUAGCAUUUGGUAUUUUUAGGUUUUUUUUCCUCACACUUUUAAAAAAAUGCACUUACAUGCCUUUACAGACCUCUGUCAAAUUUCUCCUGAAACAAAUAACCUGAAUGUGAGCUAACAAGGCAAAGUUUUCUUCUUGUGGCAUUUGGCAGCUGAGAUGAUUGAUGAGUAAAGAUGCAGCAGCAGCAAACAUUGCACAACUGUAGUUGUCACACCUGGGGAAGCCCACAGGAUGUGCAGUCUUUAAAGUCUGUUCCAAGAGCACCAAAACUUCCCCAGGUGCAAGACUGUAGGGGAAAUAUUAUUAAAUAUCUUUUGGGUAGUUUUUUUUCCCCCAUAAACUGUUUCAUAGACUUAAUAGCAUAAAUUAAUGGAUGACAAGAGUAAUGGAUGCAGUUUCUGUCAGCCAAAAAGGGUUAGAGGUGUCACACCCCAGGAACACCUCAUUCAUUAGGGAAGAAAGGAGUAAGUGGGAACCAGAAAGAGCCAUAUUAAUCACAAAUGACACCUUAAAAUAGAGGCUGGUUUUUUUCCUUGCUGUUCUUUUUGGCAGGGUCGCAGCAUGCUCUCUUCUGUACCUUGCAUUCUCCUGCUGUUGUCAUUGUGCUUUCUCUGACCUCUUCUUCUGCCUCAUUGCCCUUUGUUCCUUCAGCCACCUGCCUGCAGAGCCUGCAAACCCCAGCACGGGCUCUUCCUUCCAGCAGAAGCAUCCCUGGAUGUCAGUAAUUCCAGCAGGUUUUUAACACCAGUGGACUUCACUGGAGAGAUGCACAUGGCUGGGUGAGAGCCUGAGCCCUCAACUAUCAGCUCUAGCUGAUGACUACAACCAGGGCUCCAUGACACUGGAGAGCUGAAUCCAUCCCAGAUCCUGGACUGACAAGACAAUAAUAAAAUGUUAAGGGUUUAUCAAAACUGCAGAGGCAAUUUAAAGCAAAUUCUUUGUCAGCAGAAACUGACUUUCAAUGUACUCUUUCAACAUAUGCAAAAUGAAAGUGAAAUAAAAGUUGUGUAUGUUGCUUCAUAGCACCUUGAAAAAUUUUAUUGCCAGAGUGUUUCAGGACUGGAAACAGAAAUAUUAACCCUGUUGAUCUAAUAGUUAUGAUGCUCCUGUGUUUGUAUAUUGAAUGAUAGAUGAAAAUACCCUAUGAAUGGAAAAGUAAACAUCACUGGAUUUGUUUGCAGACCAUCUUAGAAGGGAACAGCUGGAAUUAGAGCAAAAAUAACCAGAAAACCAGAUGCAAUGCUUAGGGCAUUAUCAGUAACUUUUAAAAAUUUUGAUUUGUUUCUUGAGUUUUAUGUCAAACACAGGCUUUUUUUCUGUGAACCAUUCUAGCAGAGGUCAGUCUGUGCUGAAACAGUGAUGGAGAAAGGUCUGUAUGUCAAUAUUAACUGGAUGCAGGAAGAGCUGGAGGAGUUCUGAUCUGAGAGAGCUAAAUCUUUGGGGAUUUAAGACUUGAAUGGGUCAGAGAGCAGCUCUCUACCCCCUCUUUGCCUUUUCCACAGCUCCCCUAACCUGUGAGGGGCAGGGAUACCCCACAGAGGGACAGGCCAUGAGCCCUUUGUCCCCAUUUUCAAGGAGAGGCCCGAAUCUUCCUGAGCUCAGAGUGCCCUUUUAACCCUGAUCCAACCAUUUGUUCCACCUGAGCCACUUCCCUGCUCCCUGUGGGAGGUCAGUGCACACACACAGUGACAAGUGAUGGGGUAAAAAGUGCAGGUGAGUGCUCAGCACAUCCUCUGUGCAAAUCUUAUCCUUCCCACUGGAUAUGUGGCGUCCCACUGACACCAUUCCUUGACAGCCAGGCAGGGAUUUGCAUGAAACUUGAGGGGCAUUAACUCUUGAGACCUUGUCUCCUCUGUUAAACGUGGGUGAAACUGGUCACUGGGGCCAACCACACUGCACAAGGCAAAAAUGGCAAAUGUGGAAUCCAAGAAAUUGAGAAAACUGGCCCAAGUGUUCUCAAAGACAGGUCACACCUAGUGUGAAGAGAGGAACUGAGUAAACCUCAUUCUCAAAAGAUA